GUAGUCCUGGCUGUAAACGAUGUCGACUUGGAGGUUGUGCCCUUGAGGCGUGGCUUCCGGAGCUAACGCGUUAAGUCGACCGCCUGGGGAGUACGGCCGCAAGGUUAAAACUCAAAUGAAUUGACGGGGGCCCGCACAAGCGGUGGAGCAUGUGGUUUAAUUCGAUGCAACGCGAAGAACCUUACCUGGUCUUGACAUCCACGGAAGUUUUCAGAGAUGAGAAUGUGCCUUCGGGAACCGUGAGACAGGUGCUGCAUGGCUGUCGUCAGCUCGUGUUGUGAAAUGUUGGGUUAAGUCCCGCAACGAGCGCAACCCUUAUCCUUUGUUGCCAGCGGUCCGGCCGGGAACUCAAAGGAGACUGCCAGUGAUAAACUGGAGGAAGGUGGGGAUGACGUCAAGUCAUCAUGGCCCUUACGACCAGGGCUACACACGUGCUACAAUGGCGCAUACAAAGAGAAGCGACCUCGCGAGAGCAAGCGGACCUCAUAAAGUGCGUCGUAGUCCGGAUUGGAGUCUGCAACUCGACUCCAUGAAGUCGGAAUCGCUAGUAAUCGUGGAUCAGAAUGCCACGGUGAAUACGUUCCCGGGCCUUGUACACACCGCCCGUCACACCAUGGGAGUGGGUUGCAAAAGAAGUAGGUAGCUUAACCUUCGGGAGGGCGCUUACCACUCUGUGAUUCAUGACUGGGGUGAAGUCGUAACAAGGUAACCGUAGGGGAACCUGCGGCUGGAUCACCUCC
RNAcentral lists this ribosomal RNA (740 nucleotides) under uncultured bacterium. RNAcentral describes it as "bacterial SSU rRNA". It matches the Rfam family "Bacterial small subunit ribosomal RNA", at positions 790 to 1530 of the family's 1533-position model. The record is from RNAcentral.